UAAAUGUGGUCUGCUCUGCCUCAGGCUGGCUGUGACCUUGAGCUGGUGAUGUCCCUGCCUCAGUUUCCUCACCUUCUGAUGGAGAUGGGAGGGGAAGAAAGCAGCUGCCUCUGGGUGGUGGCAGAGAUGCCCAUGUCUAGGACCUCCAGGCCUUAACUAAUCAGGGGCACUGAUGAAGCCAGCGGGGCUCCACUGGGGACCACAGGCAAGACUGGGCCAGGACGAGGCGGUCACGCAGAGAAAGAAGAUAAAAGGGAACAGAAGAGAAAAUUCAAAAGAUUUAUUAUAGCCAUGAAAUGCUCUGCUCUCUUCUCUUUUCCUUGCUGUCCCUGGGGCUGGAGGAGCACGGGCCUCCCCGGGAGUGGGCUUCAGCCUCCCUAGACUCCUGUCUCCUUCCAAGGGCUAGGCCUGGGGGACCAGAAGCAAGAGUCCCUAGAGCGUCCAAGAUUUUUGGUUUCAAACCAAUUUCCUGCUGACCAGAAUGAAAUGGAGCCACAUUCCAGCACGAUGCACCUGCUGACCUCCUGCAAGUCAGGGACCUUCUCUGCCCCUCUUUUGCUCUGCUGCAGGAGGGAGAAGCUGGGAAUGUGUUCCUCUGGGGUCCCAUCACCUCCAGCCAGCCACUGUCCCUGUCUCCCCAAAACCUCCUCGUUGUCCCUCCUCUGUCCUCCUCCUCCUCCAUCUGCCUUCGCCCUGCUCUCCUCUUUUUCGCCUGAGGUUCGUGCUGCCUCCUCACCUCUUGUCCUGUUUCUCCCUUCUCUCUGCUCCCUCCUUUGAUCUUGCUAUUUUGCUUCUCUUUCCCUUCCUCUCUUCUCCUCCCUCCCCUUCCUCCCUGCUCCCUGCCUCAGCUUCUCAGUCUCUCUCCGUUCUUCCUCUAGCUUCCUUCCCUCCCCAGAAGACCCAGCCCUUCCUAGAGCCCCAGAAGCCAGGGUUCAUGCCCCAGCUCUCUACCCACACAUGCUGUGCAACCCUGGGCCAGUCACUGGUCUCUUGGGCCUCAGUUCAACAGAUGGCUGUCUUGGUGAUGUGAGAUCAUAGGGUGGAAGCACCCAGAAUGGUGCCAGGCACUCAAAAAUUUUUUUCUUUUCCUUUUUAAGGAACUACUAACCGUGA
This 1113-nucleotide long non-coding RNA is filed under the name Homo sapiens (human). RNAcentral's name for it is "HSALNT0175052". Lineage: Eukaryota; Metazoa; Chordata; Mammalia; Primates; Hominidae. The record is from RNAcentral.